Molecule: ribosomal RNA, 3049 nt
Filed under: groundwater metagenome
Description: bacterial LSU rRNA
Rfam family: Bacterial large subunit ribosomal RNA
Source: RNAcentral
AUAAGGACAGAACUCUCUCAUUAGGUUGGAGGUUUUAGGUGUUAGGUUUUAGGGGUGCGAGCUUAUGAAUGGUUCGCUCUCUGACACCUAACACUUAUCACCUAACACCUAGUGCAGGUGGAGAAGUUACAAAAUCAUCAGUUAGUCGAAUCCUGCUGGAAAGCGGAGCCAAAGACGGUGAUAGCCCCGUAGACGAAAACAGAUGAUCUUCUUAGUUUUGUUUCUUGAGUACUUCGAGGUCAAGUAGCCCCGAAGGAAGUUGCGAGUACUAUCUCGUAAGGCUAAAUACUUUUGAUGAUCGAUAGUGAACAAGUACCGUGAGGGAAAGGUGAAAAGCAGGCCGGUGAGGCCGUUGAAAUAGAACCUGAAACCAUUCGCUUACAAGGAACUGACGCCCUAAGUGUGCGUAGCACACAACUGGGAACUUAUAACUUAUAACUUAUGACGGAAUCUGUUAUUGGUUAUUGGUCAUGGGUUAUUAGUUGCGCGCUGCGCGCGCGGGGUUACAGUGUGCCUAUUGAAGAAUGAUCCAACGACUUAUUAUGUAUUGCCCGUCUAACCGAGCUCAGCUCGGGGAGGCACAGGGAAACCGAGUCUGAAUAGGGCGCCGCAUUAUUUACUUCUGCGUAUUUGCGCAGAAGUAAAUAAUUGCACGCAGUACAUAAUAGACCCGAAGCCGGAAGAGCUUGCCUUGGCCAGGAUGAACUCCGCCGAAAGGCGGAGGGAGGUCCGAACCGGUUGAUUGUGCAAAAUCUUCGGAUGAGCCGAGGUAAGGAGUGAAAAGCUAAUCGAUUUCGGUAAUAGCUGGUUCUCUCCGAAAUAUAUUUUCGUAUAGCGCCGUUUCGUAGUCACGGGGGUAGAGCACUGGAUGAUUGGUAAAGGCCGAAAGGCCGACCAAUCAAUCAAACUCCGAAUACCGUGGCGCAAGAGCGGUAGUUAGAACGUGGGGGCUAAGCUCCAUGUUCGCAAGGGAAACAGCCCAGAUCGCAAGCUAAGGUCCCUAAAUGCGUGCUCAGUGUUAAAGGUAGUCAUUUCCCACAGACAGAUAGGAGGUUGGCUUAGAGGUAGCCAUCCUUUAAAGAGUGUGUAACAACUCACUAUUCGACGGGCGAUGGCGCCGAAAAUGUACCGGGGCUCAAGCACGCUACCGAAGCUGCGGAUUCGUUUCGCAUUUAUGCGAGGCGAGUGGUAGGAGAGCAUUCUCUGUGCAGCGAAGGUCGAUCCGCGAGGGCGACUGGAGCGCAGAGAAGAGAAAAUGUUGGAAUGAGUAGCCACAAUCCCAAUGAGAAAUUGGAACCCCAAAAAUCCAAGGUUUCCGUGGCACUGGCAAUCAACCACGGGUUAGGCGGCCCUAAGGCAAUGGUGAAAACCGCAGCCGAUGGACAGCUGGUUAAUAUUCCAGCCCAACCGUGUGCGUUAAGAUGGGGGACGAAGGAGAUAAGGUGGUGUGCCUUAUUGGUUUGGCAUCCGUGGCGCAACGCGCUCCGCAAGGAGCGUACACGCGUAGCGGGAACGUCAGGCAUUUACCUGGCGGACAUUACCGAAGCGCCUUUCAAGAAAAGCCCAUUGUAUUACACAUGGUUUCCGUACCGUAAACCGACACAGGUGGGUGAGGCGAGAAGCCUAAGGGGAACGAGUGACCUGCCGCUAAGGAACUAGGCAAAAAAGCGGCCGUAAGUUCGCAAUAAGGCCUGCCUUCUUGUGCUUCGCACAAGAGAUUUAAGAAUAAUGAGGAUUUAAGAUUUAUGAAUCACUCGUAAAUCCUAAAUCGUACAUCUUGAUUCUCUCGCGCGGAGCGCGAGGAGGCCACAGUGAAAGUAUCUCUGGCGACUGUUUACCAAAAACACAGCUCCCUGCGAACUCGCAAGAGGAUGUAUAGGGGGUGACGCCUGACCGAUGCGAGAAGGUUAAGCUUGGGAGUCAUGCAUCGCACUAAGGUGCGCUGCGGUGUCAGGUAUCACAUGUCAAGUGUCAGGAAACAUUCUUGAUACUUGAUACAUGACGCUUGAUACUGCGCGACGCGCUUUAGCGCGGUGCGUGGCCCACCGAGUGAAGCCCUCGUCAAUGUCAGCGAUAACUAUAAUCGUUCUAAGGUAGCGCAAUUCCUUUUCGGGUAAGUUCCGAAGCGCACGAAAGGCGUAACGACUGGAGAACUGUCUCAGCGGCAUACUCGGCGAAAAUGCGAUUCCCGUGAAGACGCGGGAUACCUGCAGCAAGACGAAAAGACCCCGGAAGCUUUACUGCAGCCUGGUAUUGGCGUUAGGGGUUUACUACGUAGCGUAGUGGGGAGGAUUUGAAGUCCCGCUUUCGGGCGGGAUGGAUCCGACAAUGAAACACCCAUUUUUAAAUCUUUAACGUCUAACCUCGACGGCAAAAACGUCGCGGGACAGUGCUUGGUAGGCAGUUUAAAUGGGGCGUUUUCCUCCCAAAGAGUAACGGAGGAGUUUAUUAAGGUCGGCUUAGCCCGGAUGGAAAUCGGGCAGGACGUGUAAACGCACAAGCCGGCUUGACUGCAAGACCUACAAGUCGCGCAGACGCGAAAGCGGAAGUUAGUGACCCGACCAUUCUUUAUAGAAAGGUGGGAGACAACGGAUAAAAGCUACUCCGGGGAUAACAGGCUGGUUUCGUCCGAGCGUUCCUAGCGACGACGAAGCUCGGCACCUCGAUGUCGGCUCGCCCUAGCGCGGGGGUGGAGAAGCUCCCAAGCGUUUGGCUGUUCGCCAAUUAAAAGGGCACGUGAGCUGGGUUCAGACCGUCGUGAGACAGGUCGGUCUCUAUCUGUUGCAGGCGUAAGAUACUUGAGGGGAGUUGGCCCUAGUAAAGAUUUGCUACUGUUCGAAGUAAUUCGAAUUGCCAACUCGGCUAAUAACGGUGGAAUCUUAUUAUUUUUUUGGUCCGUUGAUAGCCAUAAUCAUACUCGGUCCCUUGAUUAUGGUACAAUUUACUUGAGGACCAGAACAUAGAUAAGACAAUACCGUGGGAAGUCGAUCUAAAAUUGAUCUCGCAUACAUUGCUGGUUUUUUGGACGGAGACGGCAGUCUCAUGCUUC